UUUCCUUGAAAAAUAUUUUAAGCUCUACAGAAAAAAAAAAAUUAAGAAAAAAGAAUUUCGAGUUGCCAAAUCAUUUUCAUUUAUUCCAACGGCAUCCUGUAUCUUCUGCGAAAGGAGUUAUAAGAAUAGCCAAGGAAGAAAAAGGACACGUUUCGUUUUCCGUUGGCCAUUCGAUGGAACCCUAAACGUCUUGCGUAACCGGAAGCCAGUCAGCGGAUAUCGACAGACAAAGCCACGACCGUAAUGCAAAUUCCUCGAAUCGAUUCUAUGAGUUAUUUUUACGGUACUAUGAGUGUUCUUUGAGCGAUUAUAUGAUUAUUAUACAUGUAAUAAAUAUUUGUCGAUGGUUAUUAUUCGUUGUCUCGUUGAAUGGUACGAGGGCCAUCGGAAGUUGACAAUGUCGGAAUUAAUUAAGAAAUUUAAAUUAAACAUGAAAUCAAGGAUAAGUAAAUUAUUAAAUUAAACAUAUAUUUGAAAAUUGAAUAAAUCUACUUUUGUUGAA
Long non-coding RNA from Apis laboriosa (Himalayan honeybee), 502 nucleotides. RefSeq lists it as uncharacterized. NCBI's taxonomy places the organism in Eukaryota, Metazoa, Arthropoda, Insecta, Hymenoptera, Apidae. The record is from RefSeq and is a predicted model, not a curated record. The transcript is spliced from 2 exons.